This 301-nucleotide ribosomal RNA is filed under the name uncultured bacterium. Its description in RNAcentral is "partial 16S ribosomal RNA". It matches the Rfam family "Bacterial small subunit ribosomal RNA", at positions 509 to 807 of the family's 1533-position model. The record is from RNAcentral.
CAGCCGCCGCGGUAAUACGAAGGGUGCAAACGUUGCUCGGAAUUACUGGGCGUAAAGCGUGCGCAGGCGGUUUGUUAAGACAGAUGUGAAAUCCCCGGGCUUAACCUGGGAACUGCAUUUGUGACUGGCAAGCUAGAGUAUGGCAGAGGGGGGUGGAAUUCCGCGUGUAGCAGUGAAAUGCGUAGAUAUGCGGAGGAACACCGAUGGCGAAGGCAGCCCCCUGGGCCAAUACUGACGCUCAUGCACGAAAGCGUGGGGAGCAAACAGGAUUAGAUACCCGGGUAGUCCCUGUCUCUUAUAC